This 306-nucleotide ribosomal RNA is filed under the name Leptocylindrus danicus. RNAcentral describes it as "partial Bacterial large subunit ribosomal RNA". It matches the Rfam family "Bacterial large subunit ribosomal RNA", at positions 181 to 489 of the family's 2925-position model. The record is from RNAcentral. Lineage: Eukaryota; Bacillariophyta; Leptocylindrophyceae; Leptocylindrales; Leptocylindraceae.
AGACGCAGGGAACUGAAACAUCUCAUUACCUGUAGGAAGAGAAAGAAAAUUCGAUUUCCUGAGUAGCGGCGAGCGAAACGGAAAGAGCCCAAACCAAAGAGCUUGCUCUUUGGGGUUGUAGGACAGACGAUAUGUAGUUAAAGAUUUAGUCGAAUGGCAUGGGAAGGCCAAUCACAGAGGGUGACAAUCCCGUAGACGAAAGAUCAAUAACGCUAGUCUGUAUCCUGAGUACGGCGGAACACGUGUAAUUCCGUCGGAAUCCGGGAGGACCAUCUCCCAAGGCUAAAUACUCCCUAGUGACCGAUA